Long non-coding RNA from Vespula pensylvanica (western yellowjacket), 3072 nucleotides. RefSeq lists it as uncharacterized. The record is from RefSeq and is a predicted model, not a curated record. The transcript is spliced from 2 exons. Lineage: Eukaryota; Metazoa; Arthropoda; Insecta; Hymenoptera; Vespidae.
GAAAUCUGCGACAAAAGAUAGAAGCUCUUAACCCCACUACUGACUGCCAUAUAAACGCUAGUGUGGUUAUGUUUAUAUCCGUGGAGUAAAUAAUAGCUUCCUUGUGCGUACAAAGAGAACAAGAAAAACAAUCGAACGUUCGAUUGACUUUGAUAUUUAUCAAUCCAGUCGUCUUUCGCCUUCCAACGAGUGAACAUCGGAUCGGUAAUACAGGAGUAUAUAAUCCGAGAAUAAUACAAGAUAAUACAGGAAUUUAUUAUCUCCCAAGUGUUAAGCUGGUAAAACAAUCAACUACUUCUAUCGACAAAAAGAUUGGACACCACUGCGUUAGAGCUUGGAGAUCGUAAAACCAGCAUGAUUGACUCACAUAACGUAUAUUUUAUAUGGUAUUAAAGCUCAAUUCACAUUGAUAAUGUUAACACGUUAUAAGCCGUCAAUAUAUUCUGUAAUAGAAAAAAUAAAUAUUUAUUUAUUUUAUUAUAAAUUUUUAGUAGUGGCAAGUGCAAGUACAAUAUAAUAUAGAUGUUAUUAAAUGUUACAUCGACGGUUUGUAAUGUAACAACUUUAUAUGCAAUAUGAAUCCAACUUAAUACUAUAUGAUAUAAUGGCGAACUAGUUUAUAACCAAUUUAUUUGAUUUUACACAAAAAUAAUGAUCUUGUUAUUUCGAUCAUUUAUUUGAGUUUAUUCAUUUGAGUAUUUCAGUUAAUCUUGAUAUGUUAAAUUUAACAUUUAAAUUUGAAAAAAUGAGAGGACACUUAAAAUUGUUCACAUUUUAUUAAAAAGAAGUUAAUAUCUAUUUUGUUAUUAUUAUUAUUAAUGUAAGAAAGAAUUUUUGGGUAUUCUAAAAUAUGUUAUUAAAGAAUUAAAGAAUACAUCUUAGGUUCAGUGCAAAUAUCUUAACUCAAAAAUAAUAAAGACAUAGCAUUUUUUAUAACAUUGAUCGCUGUUUAUAUGUACCUCAGCAUUCAUUAUACAUAUAGAGUAAAAACUGUGGCAGGACUAGCUAGCUAUAAUCUAACACCAUAUUCCAAUCUAUAGAAUCUAUUUAAUUUGUAUUGCACCAAGAUUUUGAUUGGGUUUGAUAUGACCUGUAAAGUAUAUACUUUCAGUUUAAUUAGUUAAUUUUUAUUACAAUGCAAAGCACUGUGAUAAUUUUAGUUACUUUACUUGGCACUUGCAAAAUACAUUAAACUAUAUUGUGCGAAGAAAAACAAUAUUCUCUCCUUUGUUUUAUUGAUGUAAUGAAAUACAAGUAUUAUUUCUUAAGAUUUUGUUUAUGUCUCAUCUUAUAUAUAUUUUUGUUUUUAAUAUUUUAAUAAUAACUAAUGCUAAUUAAUUAUUUAUAGACAACUAUUUUCAUAUUUAAAUACAAUUGUUUAUUUGUUAAUUAUUAUAUAACUCCUAUGUUCUUAUCUAACAAAUAAGAAUCAAGAGUUGCUAUGUUCACAUGUACCGACAAAGUUCUAUCUUUUAUAGAUCACAAAGCAGCAAAAGGAUAUUAUAAUUAUCAUAUUAUUUGACAAUCUAUGAAAGAUAGUCAACAUUAAGUUAUUAAUGUUACAAUAGCAUAAUAUGUACAGGAACCUAAGAGGUGGGAUGGUAUGGGCGGCUUCACUCAACGGAAUGCAACAUUUCUUUUAACGUCUGGUAUCUUGUAAGCGAUGUUGACAGAAAUAUUUCUUUGAUGAUAUUUAACAGAAAACUUAUUUCUCAUAGAUACAAAUUAUAAAAUUACAAUACUUCUAUAUUACAUUGUAAUAGUUCAAAUAACUUAAGCAACAUAUGUGUAUACGUAUUUUCUUUAAAUACAUUUAUAAAAAAUUAUUGCAAAAUGUCCAUAUUUACCAACUUCAUGCGAGCAGUAUAUAAAAACCUGUUAAAGAAUUUAUAACAUAGAAGUAUUGCUCUAAGUUACAAUAACAAUAAUUAUUUUUAUUUCGAGUAUCCAUAAUUUGGCAUAUAAACUACAUGAUGGCGUAUCUGUAUUAAUAUAGUAUUUUAAACUAUUGCACAGCAAAGACAAUUAUUUUAAUACUGAUUGAAAGGAUACGUUAUCAGUACUGUAAUGCACUUAUACGCUGUUUUUUAUACCCGUUUAGAUUAAAUAUCUUCAUGAUUUUUAAGUAUAUUCAAGUAUAAAUAAAAAAGAAAUUUUUUAAAGAAACCUAUCUUAUGCUUACAUAUUUAAUUGAAACAUGUAAUAUUGAUUUAAUAGGAGAUCAAUCAUUUUACUUGUAAUAUAUUAUAAUAGUAAUCUUACAAUAAAAGUAAGAUGGUUUUUGAUGAAUUUAAAAUAAUUAUAGUAAUAUCAAAUGUUUGUUGAAAAUAAUUACAUAUUCAUGUAUAUCAUAAGACAGGCUACUUUAAAUACAUGAAAUAAUUUAUUAAAUCAUUGAUUUAUUAUGACAUUUUCUGAUUUUUCUUAAACAUACGAAAUUGCGGAAUACUCCAGCAUCAAUUUCACAAAGUGAAGUCUAAAUUCACAAUUAAUUUGAAUCAUAGUCCUUUUUAUUUAAUAGAGCGUUUUGUACUAUAUGGGUUUACACAACAAUAUACGUAUGUGCAUGUACAUACAUACCGUACAUUGUACAUUUGUGAUAUAUACCUUAUAGCUUCAAACACAGAUACAUACCCCAUUAUUUUAUUUACACAAUUAAAAAAAGAACAUAUUUUAUUUAUUUCCACAAUUCUAUAAAAUUUCAAGUGAAUACCCAUAGAUAUCUAGUACUUUCACUUUUUUAUAAUUGAAAACCAAACUAACACAUUUGAAAACAAUUUAUAUUUAAUAUAUCUAAAAAUGUAGAUAUAUAUAUAUAUAUAUAGAGAGAGAGAGAAUCGACGAUUGACUAGUAUCUUACUAGUAAAUUGCAUUUAUAUUCUUUACUUUUAUAGCUAUGUCUUUGUGUGGCACCUUUCAUAUAUAUUUGUCCGAAUAUAUACUUACAGGUUUAUCCUAAUUUUGUUUUUAAUGUUUGAUCAAUAAAAAUAUGCGAGAACAUUUUACUUUUAACCAAAAAUAAAAUGUUAGUCUCUUUUGUUAAUAAAUAAUUUAAUUUUUUUUUUUUUUUUU